UGGGGAAUAUUGCACAAUGGGGGAAACCCUGAUGCAGCGACGCCGCGUGGGUGAAGACGGCCUUCGGGUUGUAAAGCCCUGUCUUCGGGGACGAAUCAAUGACGGUACCCGAGGAGGAAGCCACGGCUAACUACGUGCCAGCAGCCGCGGUAAUACGUAGGUGGCGAGCGUUGUCCGGAAUUACUGGGUGUAAAGGGAGCGCAGGCGGGGAUCUAAGUUGGAUGUGAAAUGCCGCAGCUCAACUGCGGAGCUGCAUCCAAAACUGGAUUUCUUGAGUGGGGUAGAGGUAGGCGGAAUUCCUAGUGUAGCGGUGAAAUGCGUAGAUAUUAGGAGGAACACCAGUGGCGAAGGCGGCCUACUGGGCCCUAACUGACGCUGAGGCUCGAAAGCGUGGGGAGCAAACA
This 404-nucleotide ribosomal RNA is filed under the name uncultured Eubacteriales bacterium. Its description in RNAcentral is "uncultured Clostridiales bacterium partial 16S ribosomal RNA". It matches the Rfam family "Bacterial small subunit ribosomal RNA", at positions 355 to 774 of the family's 1533-position model. The record is from RNAcentral. Lineage: Bacteria; Bacillati; Bacillota; Clostridia; Eubacteriales.